UUUGAGGGUGCUAUUAUUCUUUUGUUCCUUUCUUUAUUUUUUCUUUCUUUUUAUUUUGAUUUUGAUUUUGAUUUUGAUUUUGAUAUUGAUUUUUCACCCUCCUUUCUUUUUUUUUGUUUUUUUUUUUACAUUUGUAAUGCCCCAGUUGGACUGUUUUGCUGAUUCUCGAGAUGCAGCUGAGUGAUCUUCUUUUCUUGCUCAAGAAGUCAGGAAAUCUCGUCAGGAAUCCUUUCAACAUCAUCUUCCUCUGCUUCGAAUACAGGGAAUUCAA
RNAcentral lists this long non-coding RNA (271 nucleotides) under Lathyrus oleraceus (garden pea). RNAcentral describes it as "Pisum sativum (pea) long non-coding RNA (PSAT_LNC006432)". The record is from RNAcentral. Lineage: Eukaryota; Viridiplantae; Streptophyta; Magnoliopsida; Fabales; Fabaceae.